GCCCGGAUGGUGGAAUUGGCAGACACGCUAGCUUCAGGUGCUAGUAAUCGCAAGAUUGUGCAGGUUCAAGUCCUGUUCCGGGUA
RNAcentral lists this transfer RNA (84 nucleotides) under Candidatus Peribacteria bacterium. RNAcentral's name for it is "tRNA-Leu". It matches the Rfam family "tRNA". Rfam says of the family: Transfer RNA (tRNA) molecules are approximately 80 nucleotides in length. The record is from RNAcentral. Lineage: Bacteria; Candidatus Peregrinibacteriota; Candidatus Peribacteria.